GUAGGUGAACCUGCGGAAGGAUCAUUCAUAAUAAGUGUUUUAUGGCACUUUUUUAAAUCCAUAUCCACCUUGUGUGCAAUGUCAGGGUUGAUUUUUCUCUCGAGAGGAUCAGCCCCAAGCAUCAACUAUAUCUCAACUCUUUGUCUGAAAAAUAUUAUGAAUAAAACAAUUCAAAAUACAACUUUCAACAACGGAUCUCUUGGCUCUC
This 208-nucleotide unclassified non-coding RNA is filed under the name plant metagenome. RNAcentral describes it as "partial contains small subunit ribosomal RNA, internal transcribed spacer 1, and 5.8S ribosomal RNA". The record is from RNAcentral.